Molecule: long non-coding RNA, 558 nt
Organism: Dermacentor silvarum
Lineage: Eukaryota; Metazoa; Arthropoda; Arachnida; Ixodida; Ixodidae
Exons: 3
Source: RefSeq, a predicted model, not a curated record
UUUCUGCACUAUCGCCAGUAUCGGCCCACUUUUAGGCGUGACACCACCACCACGCCGACACUUAUUUUCGUGGUGCCGAUACAUCGUACAAGUAUUACCUUGACCGAGGACACUAUGUUAAACAAUUGAAUGGCACAUACAGCUGUCCAAGGUUACAGGACUGUGCCGCUGCUUGCCUCAUGGAACACAGGGCCACUUUUGCAGUUUGUGGCCGGAACCCACCAAAUCUCUGUUACUGCUACAUAAAACGACAUUGAAGUGAGCAACAUACAGUUGCAGAAAACGAUGAAAACAUUAGCGCCUGAAACGAUGAAAACAUUAGCCCCAGCGGGCCGAAGACGCCGCAAGAGCCCAAUGGCUCAGGUCGUCAUCUAGGUAGAGAGGCCGAGGUCUCGCAAAUCUGCUAGACAAAUAAAGUUUAUUCCUCGUCCUCCUUUGGAACUUGACCAGGCCACAGCGGGAAACACUCAUUCACCAUAUAAUAAUAAUAAUAAUAAAACACUGAUCAAGCAAGCAGAAGUAUCAACGUAAUUAGAUAGUUUUAAAUUAGUAUUUAUA